This 218-nucleotide ribosomal RNA is filed under the name uncultured bacterium. Its description in RNAcentral is "partial 16S ribosomal RNA". It matches the Rfam family "Bacterial small subunit ribosomal RNA", at positions 1283 to 1500 of the family's 1533-position model. The record is from RNAcentral.
ACGCCUCAGUUCGGAUUGCAGCCUGCAACUCGGCUGCAUGAAGCUGGAAUCGCUAGUAAUCGCGGAUCAGAAUGCCGCGGUGAAUACGUUCCCGGGUCUUGUACACACCGCCCGUCACACCAUGGGAGCCGGAAACGCCCGAAGCCAGCGGCCCAACCGCAAGGGGGGAGCUGUCGAAGGCGGGUCCGGUGACCGGGGUGAAGUCGUAACAAGGUAGC